UAUACUGCAGUCGAGCGAACAGAUAAGGAGCUUGCUCCUUUGACGUUAGCGGCGGACGGGUGAGUAACACGUGGGUAACCUACCUAUAAGACUGGGAUAACUUCGGGAAACCGGAGCUAAUACCGGAUAAUAUUUCGAACCGCAUGGUUCGAUAGUGAAAGAUGGUUUUGCUAUCACUUAUAGAUGGACCCGCGCCGUAUUAGCUAGUUGGUAAGGUAACGGCUUACCAAGGCGACGAUACGUAGCCGACCUGAGAGGGUGAUCGGCCACACUGGAACUGAGACACGGUCCAGACUCCUACGGGAGGCAGCAGUAGGGAAUCUUCCGCAAUGGGCGAAAGCCUGACGGAGCAACGCCGCGUGAGUGAUGAAGGUCUUCGGAUCGUAAAACUCUGUUAUUAGGGAAGAACAUACGUGUAAGUAACUGUGCACGUCUUGACGGUACCUAAUCAGAAAGCCACGGCUAACUACGUGCCAGCAGCCGCGGUAAUACGUAGGUGGCAAGCGUUAUCCGGAAUUAUUGGGCGUAAAGCGCGCGUAGGCGGUUUUUUAAGUCUGAUGUGAAAGCCCACGGCUCAACCGUGGAGGGUCAUUGGAAA
Molecule: ribosomal RNA, 598 nt
Filed under: Staphylococcus sp. CH18b_1C
Lineage: Bacteria; Bacillati; Bacillota; Bacilli; Caryophanales; Staphylococcaceae
Description: bacterial SSU rRNA
Rfam family: Bacterial small subunit ribosomal RNA
Source: RNAcentral